GCGAACGCUGGCGGCGUGCUUAACACAUGCAAGUCGCACGGAAAGGCCCUGCUUUUGUGGGGUGCUCGAGUGGCGAACGGGUGAGUAACACGUGAGUAACCUGCCCUUGACUUUGGGAUAACUUCAGGAAACUGGGGCUAAUACCGGAUAGGAGCUCCUGCUGCAUGGUGGGGGUUGGAAAGUUUCGGCGGUUGGGGAUGGACUCGCGGCUUAUCAGCUUGUUGGUGGGGUAGUGGCUUACCAAGGCUUUGACGGGUAGCCGGCCUGAGAGGGUGAACGGCCACAUUGGGACUGAGAUACGGCCCAGACUCCUACGGGAGGCAGCAGUGGGGAAUAUUGCACAAUGGGCGGAAGCCUGAUGCAGCAACGCCGCGUGCGGGAUGACGGCCUUCGGGUUGUAAACCGCUUUCGCCUGUGACGAAGCGUGAGUGACGGUAAUGGGUAAAGAAGCACCGGCUAACUACGUG
Molecule: ribosomal RNA, 467 nt
Filed under: uncultured bacterium
Lineage: Bacteria
Description: partial 16S ribosomal RNA
Rfam family: Bacterial small subunit ribosomal RNA
Source: RNAcentral